GACGAACGCUGGCGGCGUGCUUAACACAUGCAAGUCGAACGGAAAGGCCCUGCUUUUGUGGGGUGCUCGAGUGGCGAACGGGUGAGUAACACGUGAGUAACCUGCCCUUGACUUUGGGAUAACUUCAGGAAACUGGGGCUAAUACCGGAUAGGAGCUCCUGCUGCAUGGUGGGGGUUGGAAAGUUUCGGCGGUUGGGGAUGGACUCGCGGCUUAUCGGCUUGUUGGUGGGGUAGUGGCUUACCAAGGCUUUGACGGGUGGCCGGCCUGAGAGGGUGACCGGCCACAUUGGGACUGAGAUACGGCCCAGACUCCUACGGGAGGCAGCAGUGGGGAAUAUUGCACAAUGGGCGGAAGCCUGAUGCAGCAACGCCGCGUGCGGGAUGACGGCCUUCGGGUUGUAAACCGCUUUCGCCUGUGACGAAGCGUGAGUGACGGUAAUGGGUAAAGAAGCACCGGCUAACUACGUG
RNAcentral lists this ribosomal RNA (468 nucleotides) under uncultured bacterium. RNAcentral's name for it is "partial 16S ribosomal RNA". It matches the Rfam family "Bacterial small subunit ribosomal RNA", at positions 28 to 507 of the family's 1533-position model. The record is from RNAcentral.